Molecule: long non-coding RNA, 711 nt
Filed under: Androctonus crassicauda
Lineage: Eukaryota; Metazoa; Arthropoda; Arachnida; Scorpiones; Buthidae
Source: RNAcentral
GUUUAUUCUUUAAAAUGAAAAAAAAAAAAUGUAUAUAUUGUGCUCCCCUUAAGUUGGAAGUAAAAAUAAAGAAAAUACCAUGUAAAAAUAAAAAUGGACUAUUCAGGAUAUUUUCAUGUGUCCAAGUUUUUAGUGCAGAAUGAAUGGCUGAUGCUGAAGCAAUUGUUUUACUAUCUUGGUGGAUCCAGAUCUGGCAAACUCAUUGAACCCCAUCCUUUAGUCUUCCAGCUGAUUCCAACAUAGUUAUUACAUAGUCCAAUGAGGACUGUAAAAUUUGUUGCUGCCGCCUUAAAUAUCUCAUAUGAUUUGGUAGCUUAAUUUAAACUAACCUAACCAAGUUGUCAACCAGAUGGCCAGUGGAAGCCCCCACUGCUUAAUGUACAUCAAGUAUAGAAAGCAAUGUAAAAAUCAUGACAGAAAAAACAUAAUCGUUUUUAGCAAAAAUAUGCAAUUACUUCUUAAUACCAUUUCCCAAAUAUUGGCUGAUUACUACAUAAUGGAAUCCACUCCAGGCCCAACUACAACAACUAUGGUAAGUCAGCAGGACUGUAUAAUAAGUGAAGCAACAUCUAGACUGGAUCCAUCAAAAAAUUUCUGAGGCAAGGAAUAUGAAUUCUAUCCUGGGCCAGGCCUAAGAUCAAAUUAAGAUCAAUUAAUUCAUUUAUCAUAUGUGAUUUCAUUGCAGACAUUUGAAGAAAUAUUUUUGAAUUG